CAAUCAAACACAACAUGCAAACACACCACUGAAUUCGAACUCAAAAAGUAUAUAGAAACAUACCCCUUCACUCAAACACCAACACUACACCUUACAUGCACACACAUAUUCUAUACAACAACAUUCUCACAUUCAAAUGCACAAACACUGCUCACAAAUACAGCCCUGCAAGAAUGGCCAAAUGGUAGAUCCCCAGCUAGCAUAGCAUCAUGGGUAUUGUACGUAGCAUGAUGAUG
Molecule: non-coding RNA, 236 nt
Organism: Pelobates cultripes (western spadefoot toad)
Lineage: Eukaryota; Metazoa; Chordata; Amphibia; Anura; Pelobatidae
Source: the annotation of a GenBank genome assembly